Molecule: ribosomal RNA, 437 nt
Filed under: uncultured bacterium
Lineage: Bacteria
Description: bacterial SSU rRNA
Rfam family: Bacterial small subunit ribosomal RNA
Source: RNAcentral
AGAGUUUGAUCCUGGCUCAGAACGAACGCUGGCGGCAUGCCUAACACAUGCAAGUCGAACGAGACCUUCGGGUCUAGUGGCGCACGGGUGCGUAACGCGUGGGAAUCUGCCCCUGGGUUCGGAAUAACAGUUAGAAAUGACUGCUAAUACCGGAUGAUGACGUAAGUCCAAAGAUUUAUCGCCCAGGGAUGAGCCCGCGUAGGAUUAGCUAGUUGGUGGGGUAAAGGCCUACCAAGGCGACGAUCCUUAGCUGGUCUGAGAGGAUGAUCAGCCACACUGGGACUGAGACACGGCCCAGACUCCUACGGGAGGCAGCAGUGGGGAAUAUUGGACAAUGGGCGAAAGCCUGAUCCAGCAAUGCCGCGUGAGUGAAGAAGGCCUUCGGGUUGUAAAGCUCUUUUACCCGGGAAGAUAAUGACUGUACCGGGAGAAUAAGC